Molecule: long non-coding RNA, 437 nt
Filed under: Rattus norvegicus (Norway rat)
Lineage: Eukaryota; Metazoa; Chordata; Mammalia; Rodentia; Muridae
Description: long non-coding RNA NONRATT001340
Source: RNAcentral
AGUCAGUACCACUGGAAUCAAGGUACUCGGGAUGGAAGAGGGAAAAGAGAAAUGCACUGAAGAACUUCUGGUGGUCUCCCAGCAGCUUCUUGCCACUUCUGAAGACUCGGGAUGAUUGGCAGAUCCUCGAGGUUUCUUCUGGAUCAAACCGCCAUUGCUGAGUUGUGAAUGGUGUUUGCAAGUGGAUUGAGCUACCACUGCUGAUUCGUGUGGACUGAACUGCUGAUAUCCUGACAAUGAAGAAUCACCCAAAAGAACUAGUUCUAGGGCUGGAGAGAUGGCUCAGUGUAAGAGCACUGACUGCUCUUCCAGAGUUCAAUUCUCAGCAACAACAUGGUGGCUCACAACCAUCUGUAAUGAGAUCUGAUGCCCUCUUCUGGUGUGUCUGAAGAUAGCUACAGUGUACUCAUAUACAUAAAAUAAAUAAGUAAUUCUUU